RNAcentral lists this ribosomal RNA (253 nucleotides) under uncultured bacterium. Its description in RNAcentral is "partial 16S ribosomal RNA". It matches the Rfam family "Bacterial small subunit ribosomal RNA", at positions 524 to 776 of the family's 1533-position model. The record is from RNAcentral.
UACGUAGGGUGCAAGCGUUAAUCGGAAUUACUGGGCGUAAAGCGUGCGCAGGCGGUUUUGUAAGUCUGAUGUGAAAUCCCCGGGCUCAACCUGGGAAUUGCAUUGGAGACUGCAAGGCUAGAAUCUGGCAGAGGGGGGUAGAAUUCCACGUGUAGCAGUGAAAUGCGUAGAGAUGUGGAGGAACACCGAUGGCGAAGGCAGCCCACUGGGUCAAGAUUGACGCUCAUGCGCGAAAGCGUGGGGAGCAAACAGG